GAGUAGCGCCUCAGAUACGCUGCAAGAUUUUCAACCAAACUUUCGCAUGGCUCUCCAGAGUUAUUUAUAUAUUAAAGACGUGGACGAUAACACUUUACUUAUUUUACUUUACUGGUUUGGUGCUUUUACCACAAGACAUGGAAAGACAUGAGGAAAUGGCUUGGGCUGCAGCUGUUCACUGAAGGAAAGGUCUUAAAGGAGACAGACAUGACACACAGAAGAUCAUACAUGUCAUGCAUGCAUCGCAGAAGACCGAGGUGGGCAGCAAAAGGAUUCACAGUCUUCAUCUGACCUGCAGUAGCUGGGCUCUCGGGAUAACCAGUAACAUGUCCUCUCCCACUUCCUCUCCCUGACCCUCCUCUUGCAGGGUCACCAGCUCUUCCAUAGGCUUCGG
Molecule: long non-coding RNA, 394 nt
Organism: Paramisgurnus dabryanus
Lineage: Eukaryota; Metazoa; Chordata; Actinopteri; Cypriniformes; Cobitidae
Source: RefSeq, a predicted model, not a curated record